This 468-nucleotide ribosomal RNA is filed under the name uncultured bacterium. RNAcentral's name for it is "partial 16S ribosomal RNA". It matches the Rfam family "Bacterial small subunit ribosomal RNA", at positions 28 to 507 of the family's 1533-position model. The record is from RNAcentral.
GACGAACGCUGGCGGCGUGCUUAACACAUGCAAGUCGAACGGAAAGGCCCUGCUUUUGUGGGGUGCUCGAGUGGCGAACGGGUGAGUAACACGUGAGUAACCUGCCCUUGACUUUGGGAUAACUUCAGGAAACUGGGGCUAAUACCGGAUAGGAGCUCCCGCUGCAUGGUGGGGGUUGGAAAGUUUCGGUGGUUGGGGAUGGACUCGCGGCUUAUCAGCUUGUUGGUGGGGUAGUGGCUUACCAAGGCUUUGAAGGGUAGCCGGCCUGAGAGGGUGACCGGCCACAUUGGGACUGGAAUACGGCACAGACUCCUACGGGAGGCAGCAGUGGGGUAUAUUGCACAAUGGGCGGAAGCCUGAUGCAGCAACGCCGCGUGCGGGAUGACGGCCAUCGGGUUGUAAACCGCUUUCGCCUGUGACGAAGCGUGAGUGACGGUAAUGGGUAAAGAAGCACCGGCUAACUACGUG